GUGUCAGCAGCCGCGGUAAUACGUAGGUUGCGAGCGUUGUCCGGAUUUACUGGGCGUAAAGCGCGCGCAGGCGGUCCUGAAAGUCGAAUGUGAAAGCUCCUGGCCCAACUGGGGGAGGCCGUUCGAAACUUCGGGACUUGAAGGCGGGAGAGGCAGAUGGAAUUUCCGGUGUAGCGGUAAAAUGCGUAGAUACCGGAAGGAACACCAGUGGCGAAAGCGAUCUGCUGGCCCGCCCUUGACGCUCAGGCGCGAAAGCUAGGGGAGCGACCGGGAUUAGAAACCCCAGUAGUCC
Molecule: ribosomal RNA, 292 nt
Filed under: uncultured bacterium
Lineage: Bacteria
Description: partial 16S ribosomal RNA
Rfam family: Bacterial small subunit ribosomal RNA
Source: RNAcentral